RNAcentral lists this ribosomal RNA (1567 nucleotides) under Lactiplantibacillus plantarum. Its description in RNAcentral is "16S ribosomal RNA". It matches the Rfam family "Bacterial small subunit ribosomal RNA". Lineage: Bacteria; Bacillati; Bacillota; Bacilli; Lactobacillales; Lactobacillaceae. The record is from RNAcentral.
UAAUUUGAGAGUUUGAUCCUGGCUCAGGACGAACGCUGGCGGCGUGCCUAAUACAUGCAAGUCGAACGAACUCUGGUAUUGAUUGGUGCUUGCAUCAUGAUUUACAUUUGAGUGAGUGGCGAACUGGUGAGUAACACGUGGGAAACCUGCCCAGAAGCGGGGGAUAACACCUGGAAACAGAUGCUAAUACCGCAUAACAACUUGGACCGCAUGGUCCGAGUUUGAAAGAUGGCUUCGGCUAUCACUUUUGGAUGGUCCCGCGGCGUAUUAGCUAGAUGGUGAGGUAACGGCUCACCAUGGCAAUGAUACGUAGCCGACCUGAGAGGGUAAUCGGCCACAUUGGGACUGAGACACGGCCCAAACUCCUACGGGAGGCAGCAGUAGGGAAUCUUCCACAAUGGACGAAAGUCUGAUGGAGCAACGCCGCGUGAGUGAAGAAGGGUUUCGGCUCGUAAAACUCUGUUGUUAAAGAAGAACAUAUCUGAGAGUAACUGUUCAGGUAUUGACGGUAUUUAACCAGAAAGCCACGGCUAACUACGUGCCAGCAGCCGCGGUAAUACGUAGGUGGCAAGCGUUGUCCGGAUUUAUUGGGCGUAAAGCGAGCGCAGGCGGUUUUUUAAGUCUGAUGUGAAAGCCUUCGGCUCAACCGAAGAAGUGCAUCGGAAACUGGGAAACUUGAGUGCAGAAGAGGACAGUGGAACUCCAUGUGUAGCGGUGAAAUGCGUAGAUAUAUGGAAGAACACCAGUGGCGAAGGCGGCUGUCUGGUCUGUAACUGACGCUGAGGCUCGAAAGUAUGGGUAGCAAACAGGAUUAGAUACCCUGGUAGUCCAUACCGUAAACGAUGAAUGCUAAGUGUUGGAGGGUUUCCGCCCUUCAGUGCUGCAGCUAACGCAUUAAGCAUUCCGCCUGGGGAGUACGGCCGCAAGGCUGAAACUCAAAGGAAUUGACGGGGGCCCGCACAAGCGGUGGAGCAUGUGGUUUAAUUCGAAGCUACGCGAAGAACCUUACCAGGUCUUGACAUACUAUGCAAGUCUAAGAGAUUAGACGUUCCCUUCGGGGACAUGGAUACAGGUGGUGCAUGGUUGUCGUCAGCUCGUGUCGUGAGAUGUUGGGUUAAGUCCCGCAACGAGCGCAACCCUUAUUAUCAGUUGCCAGCAUUAAGUUGGGCACUCUGGUGAGACUGCCGGUGACAAACCGGAGGAAGGUGGGGAUGACGUCAAAUCAUCAUGCCCCUUAUGACCUGGGCUACACACGUGCUACAAUGGAUGGUACAACGAGUUGCGAACUCGCGAGAGUAAGCUAAUCUCUUAAAGCCAUUCUCAGUUCGGAUUGUAGGCUGCAACUCGCCUACAUGAAGUCGGAAUCGCUAGUAAUCGCGGAUCAGCAUGCCGCGGUGAAUACGUUCCCGGGCCUUGUACACACCGCCCGUCACACCAUGAGAGUUUGUAACACCCAAAGUCGGUGGGGUAACCUUUUAGGAACCAGCCGCCUAAGGUGGGACAGAUGAUUAGGGUGAAGUCGUAACAAGGUAGCCGUAGGAGAACCUGCGGCUGGAUCACCUCCUUU